This 167-nucleotide non-coding RNA is filed under the name unclassified sequences. The record is from Rfam.
GAUCAUUGACAUACUGAUAAGGCUAAAAACAAAGAGAUAACUAACGUAGAGAGGCUCUAAGCCCUCUACACGUGACUAACAAUACAGCUUGCAAGUCUAGACCUAUCGUGCUAGACGCUGAACGGCUAACGACCGCCCCCCGCCAAUCGUAAAGGGCUUGCAGGCAC